GCAUUAUUCUAAAAUCGGCAUAGCGCAUGCUUGCUCGGCCUGUUCGUCUAUACGCGCGACCCACGCGACGUAAUAAGAUACACGACAUAGCAAAAGCAUAAGGGCCGGCACCGGCAAACGGCAAAGGAUUUACCGGUGACCGGCCGGACCGGCCCGAACAGCUGUCCGAGUUCGUUGCCACAAGCGUGAAUUGCUCGAUAUUUGGUGAAAAAUGCAGUGACCAAAGUCCUUCCGCUGCCGUCUUUUUGUCAUCCACGCUAAAAAUCAAAGUGUCGUAUAUUCAGUGCAUUUUAAAGAGUGACCAGCAGCGAGUAGAGCGUUGAUUUCAUUUCUUUUGAAAUCCUACAUCUUAGGUUCUACAAACACGAAUGACUAGAGCAAACCACACAAGUAUCAGUGGAUGCACUAAAUCGCACAAGGUAAUAAUUGGAACCAACAAGAAUGUCGAGUUAUUGGAAAAGUGAUGAAAAACUGUGACGACGCCAUUUAUCCUGAAAUCUCAUUUUUUAGACUCUUGACAUUUUGAGACUCCCCAAAGUAUGUGGGGGACACAAUUUAAUCAAUCAAUUUUCUGUCUUGUUUCUUUUGAAAAAUAUAAAUAUCAUUAAUUUACGCAGUAGUUACAAACUGACAAACUUUUCUACCGUUUUAUCUUCUAAUCGAACCUUUGAAAUUUAAAUAAAGAUU
Long non-coding RNA from Venturia canescens, 687 nucleotides. RefSeq lists it as uncharacterized. The record is from RefSeq and is a predicted model, not a curated record. The transcript is spliced from 3 exons. Lineage: Eukaryota; Metazoa; Arthropoda; Insecta; Hymenoptera; Ichneumonidae.